Molecule: non-coding RNA, 426 nt
Organism: Paramormyrops kingsleyae
Lineage: Eukaryota; Metazoa; Chordata; Actinopteri; Osteoglossiformes; Mormyridae
Source: RefSeq, a predicted model, not a curated record
AAACGUUCCUGGUCUAUGCCAGUUAGCAUUAUGCUGUGUUAGAAAGCGUUUCUACUGUAAUUUACAGGUGCAUCUUCUCACAUGACAGCAACACCAAGUGAUGGGGGUGAUGUGUGGCUCCUACCGCCAGCAAUGAGUGGAGCCUUGCUUUGCCAUGGGAGGAGUCAAGCCACAUUGUUUCCCUCUGGCGGGGGCUCGCUGACUACGACCAGGAACGCACGGUGCAUGCUCUACAUCAUGAUGUCGGCAUCAACAAAGGAUGCUUUCGGGCCACAAAGAAAAUUGUAGCACCAAAAAGGUGCUUUGUUGGAGCACACAGUCCUGCACAGUGGCCAGACUGUAACAGGAUUGUAGGGGAAGCAUUUCUGAAUUUGUGUCUGGAGGUUCCAAACCCAAAGUGCACUGAUGGUGUCACACUUUUCAGGU